CCUACGGGGUGCAGCAGUGGGGAAUAUUGGACAAUGGGCGAAAGCCUGAUCCAGCCAUGCCGCGUGUGUGAAGAAGGCCUUCGGGUUGUAAAGCACUUUCAGUGGGGAAGAAAGCCUUGGGGCUAAUACCCUCGAGGAAGGACAUCACCCACAGAAGAAGCACCGGCUAACUCCGUGCCAGCAGCCGCGGUAAUACGGAGGGUGCGAGCGUUAAUCGGAAUUACUGGGCGUAAAGCGCGCGUAGGCGGUCUGAUAAGCCGGUUGUGAAAGCCCCGGGCUCAACCUGGGAACGGCAUCCGGAACUGUCAGGCUAGAGUGCAGGAGAGGAAGGUAGAAUUCCCGGUGUAGCGGUGAAAUGCGUAGAGAUCGGGAGGAAUACCAGUGGCGAAGGCGGCCUUCUGGACUGACACUGACGCUGAGGUGCGAAAGCGUGGGUAGCAAACAGGAUUAGAUACCCCAGUAGU
This 464-nucleotide ribosomal RNA is filed under the name Vreelandella stevensii. RNAcentral describes it as "partial 16S ribosomal RNA". It matches the Rfam family "Bacterial small subunit ribosomal RNA", at positions 338 to 794 of the family's 1533-position model. Lineage: Bacteria; Pseudomonadati; Pseudomonadota; Gammaproteobacteria; Oceanospirillales; Halomonadaceae. The record is from RNAcentral.